UACGUAGGGAGCGAGCGUUGUCCGGAUUUACUGGGUGUAAAGGGUGCGUAGGCGGGUCUGCAAGUCAGACGUGAAAUACCGGGGCUUAACUCCGGGGCUGCGUUUGAAACUGUAGAUCUUGAGUGAAGUAGAGGUAAGCGGAAUUCCUAGUGUAGCGGUGAAAUGCGUAGAUAUUAGGAGGAACACCAGUGGCGAAGGCGGCUUACUGGGCUUUAACUGACGCUGAGGCACGAAAGCGUGGGGAG
This 245-nucleotide ribosomal RNA is filed under the name uncultured Ruminococcus sp. Its description in RNAcentral is "partial 16S ribosomal RNA". It matches the Rfam family "Bacterial small subunit ribosomal RNA", at positions 524 to 768 of the family's 1533-position model. The record is from RNAcentral. Lineage: Bacteria; Bacillati; Bacillota; Clostridia; Eubacteriales; Oscillospiraceae.